CAGGUGCGAGAGGGAGUGUAUACGCGCGUCUGAGACUGUGGGAAAAAUAACGAAAGAAAAAGUGCCGUUAUGAAAGAAAAAUGCCUAUGAAAAAAUGAAAACUGCAUUGAAAAAACAAACUUGAAAGAACAAAAACUACACCAUAAUCGUCACCAACAUCACCAUCACCAUUAUCACCAUCACCAUUAUCACCAUCACCACCACCACCACUAGCGUCCAGUCUUAUCACGCCAUCGCGACCCCAACAGUGCUAAAAUUACACGAAUCAAUAGGAAACCAAACUUAACCAGCUGAGAAAUAAUUGAAGGAGAGAGAGAGAAAAAAAAUAUCCCAAAUGAACUUCCUCGUGUCUUCUAAAGGACAAUGUGACCUCGCCGCCACUGCCCCGCGACCCUCAACCCUCGGGCGCUGAGGUCACGCAAAAGGUCAGGUCACACAGGCAAGGAAAAAAAACAA
Molecule: long non-coding RNA, 456 nt
Organism: Scylla paramamosain (green mud crab)
Lineage: Eukaryota; Metazoa; Arthropoda; Malacostraca; Decapoda; Portunidae
Exons: 2
Source: RefSeq, a predicted model, not a curated record